This 225-nucleotide unclassified non-coding RNA is filed under the name Hevea brasiliensis (rubber tree). Lineage: Eukaryota; Viridiplantae; Streptophyta; Magnoliopsida; Malpighiales; Euphorbiaceae. The record is from RNAcentral.
GGAUGAGAACCUCCGGCGAGAGGUUGUGAGAUAUGGAGAGUUCGUGCAAGCAGCCUACCAUGCUUUCCAUUCGAAUCCUGCCAUGUCAUCAGAGGAAGCUCCUUUGCCCAGACAUAUAGCUUUGCCUGAUAGGUCAUAUAAGGUGACAAAGAGCCUUUACGCUACAUCCUCCAUCGGUUUGCCUAAAUGGGUAGACGACGUAGCACCGGAUCUCGGUUGGAUGAC